AGUGAACGCUGGCGGUAGGCCUAACACAUGCAAGUCGAACGGCGGCACAGUAAGAGCUUGCUCUUACGGGUGGCGAGUGGCGGACGGGUGAGGAAUACAUCGGAAUCUACUUUUUCGUGGGGGAUAACGUAGGGAAACUUACGCUAAUACCGCAUACGACCUACGGGUGAAAGCAGGGGAUCUUCGGACCUUGCGCGAUUGAAUGAGCCGAUGUCGGAUUAGCUAGUUGGCGGGGUAAAGGCCCACCAAGGCGACGAUCCGUAGCUGGUCUGAGAGGAUGAUCAGCCACACUGGAACUGAGACACGGUCCAGACUCCUACGGGAGGCAGCAGUGGGGAAUAUUGGACAAUGGGCGCAAGCCUGAUCCAGCCAUACCGCGUGGGUGAAGAAGGCCUUCGGGUUGUAAAGCCCUUUUGUUGGGAAAGAAAAGCGGCAGGUUAAUACCCCGCUGUUCUGACGGUACCCAAAGAAUAAGCACCGGCUAACUUCGUG
RNAcentral lists this ribosomal RNA (492 nucleotides) under uncultured bacterium. RNAcentral's name for it is "partial 16S ribosomal RNA". It matches the Rfam family "Bacterial small subunit ribosomal RNA", at positions 29 to 507 of the family's 1533-position model. The record is from RNAcentral.